CGAAUGGGGAAUUCGCCCUUCCGAAUGGGGAAACCCAGUCUUAGGACUAUCCGAAAGGAAGCUAACCCGGAGAACUGAAACAUCUAAGUACCCGGAGGAAAAGAAAUCAACCGAGAUUCCCUGAGUAGCGGCGAGCGAAAGGGGACUAGCCCUUAAGCAACUUGUGUUUUAAGAGAACAGUCUGGGAAGGCUGGCCAUAGUGGGUGAUAGCCCCGUAUCUGAAAAGGCACUUGUUGUGAAAUCGAGUAGGUCGGGACACGAGAAAUCUUGACUGAAUAUGGGGGGUCCGUCCUCCAAGGCUAAAUC
Molecule: ribosomal RNA, 306 nt
Filed under: uncultured bacterium
Lineage: Bacteria
Description: bacterial LSU rRNA
Rfam family: Bacterial large subunit ribosomal RNA
Source: RNAcentral